This is a long non-coding RNA of Arvicola amphibius (Eurasian water vole), 2570 nucleotides long. RefSeq lists it as uncharacterized. The record is from RefSeq and is a predicted model, not a curated record. The transcript is spliced from 5 exons. NCBI's taxonomy places the organism in Eukaryota, Metazoa, Chordata, Mammalia, Rodentia, Cricetidae.
AACACGCUACGAAGUCGUUUGACGUAGCAGAAACGGCCUCCGCACCGCUGAAGCGGAAACGUUGCUCUCGGAGUCGCGGUGGCUCUUGGGAGAGCGAGUCCGGAAAAUGCCACGGCAGGCUUCAGCCGAUCACUUCUUGGCUUCAGGCUAAGGCGUGGCUCCCAGAGGGUUAGGAUGAUGGUGCAGGGCUACCACUGCCCCCUGGAGAGCCGUGACCUCUGUUCACUGAAUAAGGGAGCACACAUCUUAUUUGCCUGAUCACUGAAUAAGGGAGCACACAUCAGAAGAAGUUGUGCCUGUGCUGCUAAAUAAGAAUAAAGAAUGUGCUAAGUCAAGGAAGAUGGUUUUAAGCUCAUCUGGGUCUCAUUGAGUUUCUACUACAGAGUUUGGAACUGAUCCAUCACCUCCUAUAAGGCAGCCAGUUGAACUUCCAAUAAGAAUUGUGUGUCUGGAGAUGAGCUUGGGGCUGCCAUGCUACCAAGCCUUUCAGUUAUGUCUGCUCAUUCAGUUUGCACACCCACCUCAUGAGGUGACCCAGAAACAAAAGAACUGGAGUUAAAACAGUCUACUUUGAGCCCUGUUUUGCAAAAGAGGAAAGUGAACUUUAGUGUACCUGUAGCUGCAGCCAGCAGAUGGCCCUGAGUCUACCAGAGUCACACCUACUGCAUUAAGCUGACUCUAUGGCAGCCUGUGUGGAUUGUGUGUGCAUCUCCCAAAGAUCACAGCAAGCCCAAGGGAGGUUCACAGUUGGUUGUGAAUGAGGAAGUCAAGGCACUGAUUGUCAAGUCCCCCAGAAGGACCAGGACCCCUCUCUGUUCAAGGUGUUAUACAAGACCUACUUCUCAUGAACUUCCUGUUCAAGGCCCUUCAUGAUAUGAUGAUGUUUUCUGGCCCUGAGAUCUUGCCUGACUGCCUGGCUUUUCUUAACUUCCUGGGUGGUCCUGUAAUGUGCAGGAGCAGACUUGUUGCCAGCUAUCUUCACCUUCCCCAGCUUCUUUCAACUGCCAUCUGAGUUGUAGCUACAUACUUACAAACCACAGAAGCCUCCUGAAUCUAAGGUUGGGAGAAUGUGGGGUUGUCUUGAGCAAGGAUGUGCAGGCAGAUUUCAUGAGCCUCUGGAAACUGGAAACGACAGCAAGGGGAUCUCUAUUAUCUUUCUCUCCACCACCUUGGUCCCAGUGUGCUCUAUUUGACCACCUUUGGGUGACUCACUGGUAGGGAGACAGAUCUAUCCGUUGUCAACUGUUUUUAAUAGUUGCUGCCUUUUAAACUAUGGCUGUCUUAGUCAGCAACUGCGACUUCACCACUACCAGCAGUGGCUUGGCUGCAAGAGCUGCAGCCUGAGGAAAUUCUGUACCCUCAGGCACCAACUCUUUCAAAGAUACCAAGAAAACUGAUCUAAAUCUCUGUCCCACUAAAAAACUCAAGAUUUAAAUGUUGAGGUAGAAUUCUGCUUUCCAGAAAGGCCGAAGAGCAAGCAGCUCACCUAGCUCACCUCCUCACAUCUCCCAAGAAGUCCUUGUGCUUUUUUCUCUUCCCUCCUUAUAAACCCUUCUCUACCUGGCUCUUCCCUACAACUUCCUGUCACUGACUCAGCCUCUGGAUUGCAGGUGAAUUUUAUUUAAUCAAACACAUCUUUGCAUCAUUAAACAAAUGUUUCAGGACAUAAACAAAACUAACAUGCCAUAAAAUAAUAUUCUACAACCUCUAUCAGUAUUGCAAUUCUAAGGCAGAGGUCCCCAUUGUAAGAGUCUGGCACCUGGCAGUCAUAUCACCCCUGGUGAGGUAAAGUGUUGUCUGACUUUUUGUGGCUCAGGUGGAAAUCACUAUGGUGACUUGGAAGUACUUCCCUUUAAUAUAUGUAUCACACUUUAUCCCCCUCCCAGAUUGCUUAUCAACUUAGUGAAUGACAGGGAGGACCUCGAUGGUACUGCUAUUUGUCAGUGCCUAUCUGUAGACGUUGGUUCUGUCCCAGAACUUUCACAUCUGCUUCAUCAGUGGCAUGUACAUCAAGACAGCUGUGGUAGGCUCUGUCUACCGCAAGUUAGGCCAGUCACCCACACCAAAUCCUGUUAUCUCAGAAUCCAGGAAAGCUGAUCUGGAACUCCCCAGAACCUGUGUGGAGAUUUCCAGACCAGCAUCCUGAACAAAGAAAUGACAUGGGCUACAGGGAUCAUGGGGCCAAGUAUAGCUCCCUUCAAGCUUUGUGUCUUAAUGAAGUGGUUCUCCGUGGUUGAUGUGUGGGAUGUCAGUGAACCCAUAUGCUGCCUGUGAAUAGCCAGGUUUCUUAGUUGACUUGGCUAUCUCUGAUGAAGUCAUGGAUGGACACCCAAGUUCAGGGGCUGAGGUGAGGGCUCAUUAGGUAAAGUGCAAGCCUGAUUGCUGUAGGAAAAUCUUUCAGCCAGUAGCCUUUAAGUUACCCACCCACUUGGGCGUUGCCUCUUAUACUAUAAAUGCUGUUGUAAAGUGCGCGCUCGCGCUCUCUUCCAGCUGUUGGAUUCUGCAUUCGAGCAGAGGGUGUGAUCUGUGAGUCUACCCCUAAAUAAAUAACUUUUUAUUAUAUUCAGUUC